This 845-nucleotide small RNA is filed under the name uncultured Gemmatimonas sp. Its description in RNAcentral is "bacterial SSU rRNA". The stretch from base 1 to 471 matches the Rfam family "Bacterial small subunit ribosomal RNA", at positions 1064 to 1533 of the family's 1533-position model. The record is from RNAcentral. Lineage: Bacteria; Pseudomonadati; Gemmatimonadota; Gemmatimonadia; Gemmatimonadales; Gemmatimonadaceae.
GUCGUGAGAUGUUGGGUUAAGUCCCGCAACGAGCGCAACCCUUGUCCCUAGUUACCAGCGGGUAAAGCCGGGCACUCUAGGGAGACUGCCGGUGUCAAACCGGAGGAAGGUGGGGACGACGUCAAGUCAUCAUGGCCCUUACGUCCAGGGCGACACACGUGCUACAAUGGCCGGUACAAACCGUUGCAAGCCUGCGAGGGUGAGCUAAUCGGAAAAAGCCGGUCUAAGUUCGGAUUGUGGUCUGCAACUCGACCACAUGAAGCUGGAAUCGCUAGUAAUCGUGGAUCAGCCAUGCCACGGUGAAUACGUUCCCGGGCCUUGUACACACCGCCCGUCACGCCAUGGAAGCUGGGGGGACCUAAAGUCGGUGGGCUAACCGCAAGGAGGCAGCCGCCAAAGGUCAAUUCAGUGACUGGGGCGAAGUCGUAACAAGGUAGCCGUAGGGGAACCUGCGGCUGGAUCACCUCCUUUCUGGAGAUCUCGAGUACGGAUGUUCCGUCGGCAGCAAUGCCGGCGCUGCAUCACAGAAAGAGUCUCUGUAGUCGCCCACACUCGUUCUCUCUCUCCGUUUGCAUUACUCCAAUAGAUCAGUCGCGAGCGCCAGUGCGCCCGCGACUCUGCUCUUUGACAAUUGAGGGAUUGGGUAACAGUAGUAAAAUUGGAAUCGAAACCGAUCGGUUCGUGGCGACCACCAUCGCGGGUGGAAGCGGCGGACCAAGAAUCAAUGUUUGAGAUCAAACAAGAUAAGGCACACGGUGAAUGCCUUGGCAUCAAGAGGCGAUGAAGGGCGUGGUAAGCUGCGAUAAGCCUGGGGGAGCUGCAUACGAGCUAUGAUCUCAGGAUGC